UNUUACGUCUGGCAAUUGGAAUGAGAACAAUCUAAAUCCCUUAUCGAGGAUCAAUUGGAGGGCAAGUCUGGUGCCAGCAGCCGCGGUAAUUCCAGCUCCAAUGGCGUAUAUUUAAGUUGUUGCGGUUAAAAAGCUCGUAGUUGGAUUUCGGGCGUGGAGGUUCGGUCCGCCGUUUCGGUGUGCACUGUCUUUCUGCGUCUUUCUGUCGGGGACGCGCUUCUGGCCUUAAUUGGCUGGGACGUGGAUCCGACGAGGUUACUUUGAAAAAACUAGAGUGUUCAAAGCAAGCUAAAGCUCUGAAUACAUUAGCAUGGAAUAACGCGAGAGGACUCGGUCCUUAUUUUGUUGGUCUUCAAGGAUGGAGUAAUNAUUAAGAGGGACAGUUGGGGGCAUUCGUAUUUCAUUGCUAGAGGUGAAAUUCUUGGAUUUAUGAAAGACGAACUUCUGCGAAAGCAUUUGCCAAGGAUGUUUUCAUUGAUCAAGAACGAAAGUUNGGGGNUCGAAGAUGAU
Molecule: ribosomal RNA, 510 nt
Filed under: uncultured Chlorophyta
Lineage: Eukaryota; Viridiplantae; Chlorophyta
Description: SSU rRNA
Rfam family: Eukaryotic small subunit ribosomal RNA
Source: RNAcentral